CCUACGGGAGGCAGCAGUGGGGAAUAUUGGUCAAUGGGCGCAAGCCUGACCCAGCAACGCCGCGUGAAGGAAGAAUGCUUCCGGGUUGUAAACUUCUUUUCUUAGGGACGAAGAAAGUGACGGUACCUCAUGAAUAAGCCACGGCUAACUACGUGCCAGCAGCCGCGGUAAUACGGAGGUGGCAAUCGGUAUCCGGAUGUAUUGGGUGUAAAGGGCGUGUAGGCGGGAAAGCAAGUCAGAUGUGAAAACUCAGGGCUCAACCCUGAGCCUGCAUUUGACACUGUUAUUCUUGAGUGCGGGAGAGGCAAUCGGAAUUCCGGGUGUAGCGGUGAAAUGCGUAGAUAUAAGGAGGAACACCAGUGGCGAAGGCGGAUUGCUGGACAGUAACUGACGCUGAGGCGCGAAAGCGUGGGGAGCAAACAGGAUUAGAUACCCGUGUAGUC
RNAcentral lists this ribosomal RNA (443 nucleotides) under uncultured bacterium. RNAcentral describes it as "partial 16S ribosomal RNA". It matches the Rfam family "Bacterial small subunit ribosomal RNA", at positions 338 to 795 of the family's 1533-position model. The record is from RNAcentral.